AUUGAACGCUGGCGGAAUGCUUUACACAUGCAAGUCGAGCGGCAGCACGGGGGCAACCCUGGUGGCGAGCGGCGAACGGGUGAGUAAUACAUCGGAACAUGCCCAGUCGUGGGGGAUAACACUUCGAAAGAAGUGCUAAUACCGCAUACGUCCUGAGGGGGAAAGCGGGGGAUCGCAAGACAUCGCGCGAUUGGAGUGGCCGAUGUCAGAUUAGCUAGUUGGUGGGGUAAAGGCCUACCAAGGCAACGAUCUGUAGCUGGUCUGAGAGGAUGAUCAGCCACACUGGGACUGAGCCACGGCCCAGCCUCCUACGGGAGGCAGCAGUGGGGAAUUUUGGACAAUGGGGGCAACCCUGAUCCAGCCAUUCCGCGUGAGUGAAGAAGGCCUUCGGGUUGUAAAGCUCUUUCGGCAGGAACGAAACGGUGAGCUCUAACAUAGCUUGCUAAUGACGGUACCUGAAGAAGAAGCACCGGCUAACUACGG
This 483-nucleotide ribosomal RNA is filed under the name uncultured bacterium. RNAcentral describes it as "partial 16S ribosomal RNA". It matches the Rfam family "Bacterial small subunit ribosomal RNA", at positions 30 to 506 of the family's 1533-position model. The record is from RNAcentral.